RNAcentral lists this ribosomal RNA (429 nucleotides) under Chloroflexota bacterium. Its description in RNAcentral is "Chloroflexi bacterium partial 16S ribosomal RNA". It matches the Rfam family "Bacterial small subunit ribosomal RNA", at positions 355 to 776 of the family's 1533-position model. The record is from RNAcentral. Lineage: Bacteria; Bacillati; Chloroflexota.
UGGGGAAUAUUGCACAAUGGGCGCAAGCCUGAUGCAGCCAUGCCGCGUGUAUGAAGAAGGCCUUCGGGUUGUAAAGUACUUUCAGCGGGGAGGAAGGGAGUAAAGUUAAUACCUUUGCUCAUUGACGUUACCCGCAGAAGAAGCACCGGCUAACUCCGGGCCAGCAGCCGCGGUAAUACGGAGGGUGCAAGCGUUAAUCGGAAUUACUGGGCGUAAAGCGCACGCAGGCGGUUGAUUGAGUCAGAUGUGAAAUCCCCGGGCUUAACCCGGGAAUUGCAUCUGAUACUGGUCAGCUAGAGUCUUGUAGAGGGGGGUAGAAUUCCAUGUGUAGCGGUGAAAUGCGUAGAGAUGUGGAGGAAUACCGGUGGCGAAGGCGGCCCCCUGGACAAAGACUGACGCUCAGGUGCGAAAGCGUGGGGAGCAAACAGG